RNAcentral lists this ribosomal RNA (153 nucleotides) under Monascostroma sp. RNAcentral's name for it is "partial large subunit ribosomal RNA". It matches the Rfam family "Eukaryotic large subunit ribosomal RNA", at positions 99 to 255 of the family's 3401-position model. Lineage: Eukaryota; Fungi; Ascomycota; Dothideomycetes; Pleosporales. The record is from RNAcentral.
CGGCAACAGCUCAAAUUUGAAAUCGGGCGACCGCCCGAGUUGUAAUUUGCAGAGGAUGCCUCGGGGCAGCGGCCGGUCUGAGUUCCCUGGAACGGGACGUCGCAGAGGGUGAGAACCCCGUACGCGACCGGCUGGCACCCCUGACGUGGCUCC